GGCCGACUAGCUCAGUUGGUUAGAGCGUCGUGCUAAUAAUUUGCGGGAGUGUCGUGAGAUUACGCGAAGGUCUUGGGUUCGACCCCCACGUUGGCCA
This 97-nucleotide transfer RNA is filed under the name Lentinula raphanica. Its description in RNAcentral is "tRNA-Ile". It matches the Rfam family "tRNA". From Rfam's summary of the family: Transfer RNA (tRNA) molecules are approximately 80 nucleotides in length. Their secondary structure includes four short double-helical elements and three loops (D, anti-codon, and T loops). Further hydrogen bonds mediate the characteristic L-shaped molecular structure. tRNAs have two regions of fundamental functional importance: the anti-codon, which is responsible for specific mRNA codon recognition, and the 3' end, to which the tRNAs corresponding amino acid is attached (by aminoacyl-tRNA synthetases). tRNAs cope with the degeneracy of the genetic code in two manners: having more than one tRNA (with a specific anti-codon) for a particular amino acid; and 'wobble' base-pairing, i.e. permitting non-standard base-pairing at the 3rd anti-codon position. The record is from RNAcentral. Lineage: Eukaryota; Fungi; Basidiomycota; Agaricomycetes; Agaricales; Omphalotaceae.